UUGACCCUGACUUAUGGGACCAGUUAUUAAUUUAACCAGUUACUUCAGAAGAGGUUACUACAAUGCAGUGUUGGUUUGAACGUCUAGUGAAAUAUAUUUUACUGUGAGACUUCUGCCUGCCCAGCCUAAAAUCAAAGUGCCACUUUUGAGAUCUCCCAAGCUCCACUCACGAAUGUGCUCCCACUGUCCAUCUAACUUCUAGAACAACUUCCACAUCACUUCCUUUAAAAAGCGUCAAUCAGGAGGAAGGGAAGCCUGAGAAUUCCCCCCUGCCGUCUGUGAGCCCUGAAUUGUCAAAGUCUCUGAGGAUGAGGAAAGUAACUUGAUGAUUCAACAGGUUUGUGUAUGUUCUUCAAUGCUCUGUGCAUGUGCACUGUACCGGCCUCUUUAGCUAUGAGUUGUGCCACAUGGCUCGCAGAUGUUUAUAACUGGAGUCUGUCACAACAGCAUUCAAGAAAAUGCUGUGACUGCACUUGUUUUGUGUAAGUCUCGGAUACCAGCAUACAGAGGCUGUUGCUCACUGGCAAACUGGGACCUACCCCUUCAUACUGAUUGUCGGAACAAAAUAGAGCAUUGUGAUUUCAUCAGCUCUCACUUUAAUGUGUAUACACCACUGGCCAAAUGUGGUGGUGGAUCUUGGCAAAGUCUCUUCCUGAUAGCAAUGAGUCUGAGGCACAAAGAAUCAGGUGUUGUACAGAAAAGAUAAAGAACGAUGUUUCAAAAGCUGUGGGAGACAAUGACUCACAGCAUGAACAUAGGUUUUAUGAUCAUCCUAAAUUGAGAGCAAGGUAUUUAUUAUCGAAAACAGAGACUGGAGAAAGACACUACGUUUGACUACUGGGACAUUCUGGGUGCUUAUAAAACUUUGACAUGAUAUUAUUUUUCAUGAUGGAAACUUUUAAGGAAAUAAGUGUCUACAAGAGGUGGACAUGGACCAUGCUUAUACAACUUAAAGCUCUGAACUCUGAGAGGCAAAGUCUACUCAUUCUCCACUCUCCUCACAGCCUCUUGAAUCAGACCUUGGCCAACCCAGUUACUCUGUUAAAGAAUCAUUAAGGAAACCAAAAAAAAAAAAAAAAAAAAAA
RNAcentral lists this long non-coding RNA (1085 nucleotides) under Pongo abelii (Sumatran orangutan). RNAcentral's name for it is "lncRNA (ENSPPYG00000041421.1)". The record is from RNAcentral. Lineage: Eukaryota; Metazoa; Chordata; Mammalia; Primates; Hominidae.